UGCGGCACAGUCGAUAGCGCGCCGAACCUCGUGCGAGAAGGUCGAGGGUUCUGUUAUGGGUGUAUAAACUGAUUGACUUCUGUUCUGGAUCGUAUUCAUUGCUGUAGUUCUACAAAUAUGUUUUUUCAACUCGUCUGCAUUCUAGUCUCUGUAUUCUCAGUCUCAGUGUGCGCAGCCUCAGUAGGGGAGAAGCUGGUUUCCUACACAUGUCAAGAGGGUACAAACACACUUGAAGCACCAUUUGGAGCAGUGGAUCCCCAAUGUGAUCAGAGCUGGACCACUAGCAAAAAGCCCAUUGCCUACUAUGAAAAUGGCAUAGGUGAAUGCAGUUUUUCAUGCGAAGAAGUGUUCUCUGGCAAAGUCAUCCUCCGUGAAUGUCACAUUAACUAUUGGUUGCACCACCAAGGAUGGGGUAUAUGAAGAGACCAGGCUGCACUUCUCAGGGAUAAGUGUCAGCAACCAAGCUUUGCCUCCAAAAACUGCCAGCACUGCCUCUACAAACGUUCAACAUGCUCAUUAUGGAUUAAUUAUAUUCUCGGUCCUGUCACCUCUGGUUAUUGUGAUCAGCGUGAUCAUCAGCCGUUACUGCAGAUCUCGUCCAAAUGAAGGUGAGGAGGCUUCAUCCAUGGUGUUGUAAUCCCCCCAAAGGACCAAGAUGACAUCUAUCCUGCCAAUGAAGAAUCCUGAAUCAGGCAUUAUCUUACAAUUUAGCCAGUAGGAUUAUUGACAGGUAAUCCUUUCAGGACUGCUGCUCUACCUCUCAAAAGGGAAAGAAAAUGAGCUUUUCGACCAUGUAGGUUUUUAGUUUCUUUGCAGACUAAUUAAAAUUAUGUAGUUCUGUGAAGCACUCAAUGUUGUGCACUUUCCUGCAUUCUCUUUUAAUUCCAAUGCUCGAAUAACCCCCUAAACUUGUUUACCAGUGAUGCAGGAGACGUUGGCAGUCUUUUCACCUAAGACGGGAAGGAGAAAAGCCAUUAGAUCUUUUUUGGUGAAAAUGUGUUCUUGCUGCUAACAUUUGAAACGGCUCUGCAUCACAAUGCUGGGACAUAUAGCUAGUGUUGUAGUAUUAAUGUAGUAACAAGUAUUUCCAAUCUAUUUAUUGCUGACAGAUGUAUACGUGUAAAAUGAGGAAAGUAUGGUAUUUCUAGGUAUGCCAACAGUACAGUAAUUGUUACACUGUACAUUGCCAUUUCUCUCUUACAUAUUUGUGAAAACUGUUAAUAUGACAGUUAGCUACAGUAAGAUGGUAGCGAUGCCAAGCAGUAACAGAAAGCACUCAAUGUUCAUCAGUUCACCUUGGGCUUGGAAGUGAUGAAAUGAACCAGCAAUUGGCGACUCAGGUUGAGUAAGGUACUCAACCUGUGGGACCAGUGUCUAUGGCAAGACUUGAAAAUGGCUGUCUAGCUAUGAUCAACAACCAACUUGACAGAGCUUGAAGAAUUUUUAAAAGAAUAAUGUGCAAAUAUUGUACAAUCCAGGCGUGCAAAGCUCUUAAGAGACUUACCCUGAAAUCGCUGCCAGAGGUGAAGCUAACAUAUACUUAUGUAAAUUAGAUAUAUCUGUAUUUAAUUUAUUUAUUCUAAAAACAGGUUUUACAUUUGUCACUGUGGGGUAUUGUGUGUAGAUGGGUGAGAGAAAAAAAUCAGGCUGUCACAACUAAAUGUGGAAUAAGUCGACAGUGCCUAAAGUAUUCAUGCCUAUCGAUUUUAGAGAUGCGGUAACAGAAAGUGCAUAAGGUUAAUCGUUCAUCUUGGGCUUGGAAGUGAUGAAAUGAGCUGGCAAUUGGAGAGUUGGAGAAUUGGAGACUGGUCUGAAAUCCUAAUGCUGUUGUGGCAUGAGAAAGGUGCUGUGGGACCAGGGUCAAAAUUAGCAAGGAUAAAAAUGUUAAAAGCAUUUUAUUAUUGGUUGAUAUCACAUUUCAUGGACACUUACCAAACAUCUGUUAUUCUAAUUCUUCUUAUAUUAACUGUCAAACUGAAUUUGAUACACUAGUAUUACAUGAGCUGCAAAUAAGCUCUAUUUCCUUUUUUAGGUCUGUUGCUUUGCAUUUGUAUGCAUUUGUAUUAACAACUGCUAACCAUGUGUAUGUGACCAAUAACAUUUGAUAUGAUUUAAUUCUGUUAAGAUUAUUAUUAUUAUUGUGAAAUAAUGUGUUUGUGUGCUAUGAUCACACGGGUGUCAUGAAAAAAUGUCACUGUUAUUUUAUAUGACCCAUAUCCAUGCACUCCUCAUGUCAAACCUGUCCUGUGAUAUGGUG
This is a long non-coding RNA of Oncorhynchus keta (chum salmon), 2257 nucleotides long. RefSeq lists it as uncharacterized. The transcript has 6 exons. The record is from RefSeq and is a predicted model, not a curated record. NCBI's taxonomy places the organism in Eukaryota, Metazoa, Chordata, Actinopteri, Salmoniformes, Salmonidae.